AGAGUUUGAUCCUGGCUCAGAUUGAACGCUGGCGGCAUGCCUUACACAUGCAAGUCGAACGGCAGCACGGGUGCUUGCACCUGGUGGCGAGUGGCGAACGGGUGAGUAAUAUAUCGGAACGUACCUUAUUGUGGGGGAUAACGCAGCGAAAGCUGUGCUAAUACCGCAUAAUCCCUUAGGGGGAAGGCGGGGGACCGUAAGGCCUCGCGCAAUUAGAGCGGCCGAUACCUGAUUAGCUAGUUGGUGAGGUAAAGGCUCACCAAGGCGACGAUCAGUAGCUGGUCUGAGAGGACGAUCAGCCACACUGGGACUGAGACACGGCCCAGACUCCUACGGGAGGCAGCAGUGGGGAAUUUUGGACAAUGGGGGCAACCCUGAUCCAGCAAUGCCGCGUGAGUGAAGAAGGCCUUCGGGUUGUAAAGCUCUUUUGUCAGGGAAGAAACAGCAGCUCUAACACAGUAUGCGAAUGACGGUACCUGAAGAAUAAGCACCGGCUAACUACGUGCCAGCAGCCGCGGUAAU
This 522-nucleotide ribosomal RNA is filed under the name uncultured beta proteobacterium. Its description in RNAcentral is "bacterial SSU rRNA". It matches the Rfam family "Bacterial small subunit ribosomal RNA", at positions 8 to 524 of the family's 1533-position model. The record is from RNAcentral. Lineage: Bacteria; Pseudomonadati; Pseudomonadota; Betaproteobacteria.